UUUACGUCUGUAGUUUAUAGGAUGAGCACCUCCGAAGGAGGUUUGAGCCGAGCGCAGCGAGACAACGUUGCUUUAGCAACGGCCCGCAGGGCGGCAUCGCAGAUGCAGUAAUCCUCUCUCGCCGACCA
This 128-nucleotide small RNA is filed under the name Serratia proteamaculans. RNAcentral's name for it is "RtT sRNA". It matches the Rfam family "RtT RNA". From Rfam's summary of the family: This family represents a bacterial cis-regulatory element known as RtT RNA. The exact function of RtT is unknown although it is thought that it may be involved in changing the cellular response in relation to amino acid starvation. Lineage: Bacteria; Pseudomonadati; Pseudomonadota; Gammaproteobacteria; Enterobacterales; Yersiniaceae. The record is from RNAcentral. RNAcentral also lists the same sequence under 2 other names.